This 1445-nucleotide ribosomal RNA is filed under the name uncultured organism. RNAcentral describes it as "SSU rRNA". It matches the Rfam family "Bacterial small subunit ribosomal RNA". The record is from RNAcentral.
ACAGGCUUAACACAUGCAAGUCGAGGGGCAGCAUUUUAGUUUGCUUGCAAACUGAAGAUGGCGACCGGCGCACGGGUGAGUAACACGUAUCCAACCUGCCGAUAACUCCGGAAUAGCCUUUCGAAAGAAAGAUUAAUACCGGAUAGCAUACGAAUAUCGCAUGAUAUUUUUAUUAAAGAAUUUCGGUUAUCGAUGGGGAUGCGUUCCAUUAGUUUGUUGGCGGGGUAACGGCCCACCAAGACAACGAUGGAUAGGGGUUCUGAGAGGAAGGUCCCCCACAUUGGAACUGAGACACGGUCCAAACUCCUACGGGAGGCAGCAGUGAGGAAUAUUGGUCAAUGGGCGAGAGCCUGAACCAGCCAAGUAGCGUGAAGGAUGAAGGCUCUAUGGGUCGUAAACUUCUUUUAUAUGGGAAUAAAGUUUUCCACGCGUGGAAUUUUGUAUGUACCAUAUGAAUAAGGAUCGGCUAACUCCGUGCCAGCAGCCGCGGUAAUACGGAGGAUCCGAGCGUUAUCCGGAUUUAUUGGGUUUAAAGGGAGCGUAGGUGGAUUGUUAAGUCAGUUGUGAAAGUUUGCGGCUCAACCGUAAAAUUGCAGUUGAAACUGGCAGUCUUGAGUACAGUAGAGGUGGGCGGAAUUCGUGGUGUAGCGGUGAAAUGCUUAGAUAUCACGAAGAACUCCGAUUGCGAAGGCAGCUCACUAGACUGUCACUGACACUGAUGCUCGAAAGUGUGGGUAUCAAACAGGAUUAGAUACCCUGGUAGUCCACACAGUAAACGAUGAAUACUCGCUGUUUGCGAUAUACAGUAAGCGGCCAAGCGAAAGCAUUAAGUAUUCCACCUGGGGAGUACGCCGGCAACGGUGAAACUCAAAGGAAUUGACGGGGGCCCGCACAAGCGGAGGAACAUGUGGUUUAAUUCGAUGAUACGCGAGGAACCUUACCCGGGCUUAAAUUGCAACAGAAUAUAUUGGAAACAGUAUAGCCGUAAGGCUGUUGUGAAGGUGCUGCAUGGUUGUCGUCAGCUCGUGCCGUGAGGUGUCGGCUUAAGUGCCAUAACGAGCGCAACCCUUAUCUUUAGUUACUAACAGGUGAUGCUGAGGACUCUAGAGAGACUGCCGUCGUAAGAUGUGAGGAAGGUGGGGAUGACGUCAAAUCAGCACGGCCCUUACGUCCGGGGCUACACACGUGUUACAAUGGGGGGUACAGAAGGCGGCUACCUGGUGACAGGAUGCUAAUCCCAAAAACCUCUCUCAGUUCGGAUCGAAGUCUGCAACCCGACUUCGUGAAGCUGGAUUCGCUAGUAAUCGCGCAUCAGCCAUGGCGCGGUGAAUACGUUCCCGGGCCUUGUACACACCGCCCGUCAAGCCAUGAAAGCCGGGGGUACCUGAAGUACGUAACCGCAAGGAGCGUCCUAGGGUAAAACUGGUAAUUGGGGCUAAGUCAUA